Molecule: ribosomal RNA, 465 nt
Filed under: uncultured bacterium
Lineage: Bacteria
Description: bacterial SSU rRNA
Rfam family: Bacterial small subunit ribosomal RNA
Source: RNAcentral
CCUACGGGUGGCAGCAGUGGGGAAUAUUGCACAAUGGGCGCAAGCCUGAUGCAGCCAUGCCGCGUGUAUGAAGAAGGCCUUCGGGUUGUAAAGUACUUCCAGCGGAGAGGAAGGCGAUAAGGUUAAUAACCUUGUCGAUUGACGUUACCCGCAGAAGAAGCACCGGCUAACUCCGUGCCAGCAGCCGCGGUAAUACGGAGGGUGCAAGCGUUAAUCGGAAUUACUGGGCGUAAAGCGCACGCAGGCGGUCUGUCAAGUCGGAUGUGAAAUCCCCGGGCUCAACCUGGGAUCUGCAUUCGAAACUGGCAGGCUAGAGUCUUGUAGGGGGGGGUAGAAUUCCAGGUGUAGCGGUGAAAUGCGUAGAGAUCUGGAGGAAUACCGGUGGCGAAGGCGGCCCCCUGGACGAAGACUGACGCUCAGGUGCGAAAGCGUGGGGAGCAAACAGGAUUAGAUACCCGAGUAGUC